Molecule: RNA transcript, 2758 nt
Organism: Onychostoma macrolepis
Lineage: Eukaryota; Metazoa; Chordata; Actinopteri; Cypriniformes; Cyprinidae
Gene: cnih3
Gene name: cornichon family AMPA receptor auxiliary protein 3
Exons: 7
Source: RefSeq, a predicted model, not a curated record
GUGAACUGAUCGCCAGGACCGUGUGUCAGUGAUUUAACUCAAAGUUCUGCAUUUUUCCAAAGUCUUCACCGCGUACAAUCUGCAUCUUUAAUGGACUAUCACUGCCGACGACACCAUACGGGACAAUGUUAAUGCAUCAUUUGCUUAACCGUCCACAAAUGCCCUGAUCUCGCAGGGACUUCGCAACAGUGCUGCAACUCGCGCAAAAUCGACACACCACAGGAAUUUUUUUAUUCAUUCGUGAAUAUGGCAAAGCGACUGCACUGAACUGGAGCUGUGGUUUGCAACACAAUGUUGCAAAUAUUUUGAAGAAGAACACGAUGCUCUCCCUCUCGCAUGCCCCGUAACUGCUUGCAUUCAUUCAGUCCAGCUUGGCUCGAGCUCCGUCUUCUCUCCUGGAGAUUUUCCUUCCAGUUUCCUCUCAAUUAUGUUCACUUUCGCUGCCUUUUGCUAUAUGCUUUCCCUUGUCCUCUGUGCUUCUCUCAUCUUCUUCGCGAUCUGGCAUAUAACAGCCUUUGAUGAGCUUCAGGCAGACUUCAAGGUGCCGAUCGAUCAGGGCAAUCCACUUCACGCGCGUGAAAGACUUCGAAAUAUUGAGAGGAUCUGCUGCCUGCUGAGAAAGUUGGUGCUUCCAGAGUACUCUAUCCAUGGACUCUUCUGUAUCAUGUUCCUGUGUGCUCAGGAGUGGCUUACUGUAGGCCUGAAUAUCCCUCUGCUCUUCUACAACACAUGGAGCAGGUACUUUCACAGCCCCACAGACACUAAGGAGCUUCUCUACGAUCCAGCAUCAGUCAUGAACGGAGACACACUCAAAUUCUGCCAAAAAGAAGCCUGGUGCAAGAUGUCCUUCUUUGUCCUCUCGUUCUUCUACUAUCUCUACUGCCAAAUAUGCUUUUUAGUGUGUGCCUUUGCUAUAGUAUAAGCUAACUUAAGCCUAUAGCAUAGCAGAGAUAUAUACAUAAACAAGCAUUUGAACUGACAAGGACGCACUUGGAUGGCGCCAGCAACAUGCCUUUGGUAUGAUCUACUCCUUGGUGACCUCAUAACAGAGUUCUCAACACAGCUCUUAAGACUCUGUUUUCCGAAAGCUCUAAACUACAUUUGGAUGAAACAAGAGCACCGCUAGACACAAGUUCAACACACUGCAGUGUCUGAACCUACAGAGAAGACUUGACCCCAUCUUCCCAGAGUAUAAGAAGAACCCAGUGUUGUUUACAGAUCUGACUCAACGCCCUAGAUGUCUCAUGGACCUGGUGUGAUGCGCUUUUCACAAGCUCACAGUAACAUUUGCACAGAUUGUCUCAGGCAUAGCACAACAUGUUCUUUACCACUUUGAGGCACAAAACCUGCCAACCUUUACACUCACUAUAUGUAGCUUCAAAUUCAUGUCGGGUUAAAACAAAGGAAAGGAAAAACGAUGGCUAACUUGAUCAGCGAAUGUUUCAUUUCUACCAGUCACACACUAGGCCACUGAGUUUGAUUACGUGAGAAGCUUUUGUGAUAUAUUUUAUGUGUAUCUGUGCACUCCUAAAAUAAGCGUUUUUAAUAUAAAAAUACGUAUCUGUUGCAUUACUUGUGUACAUAGAGAACUUUGUGUAAUGCUUUUAUGUGUUGGUGUCAGUGGGUUGAGAUGUUUUUGGACUUUAUAUUUACAAAUGCUGAUAUCGAGGCUUUAUUAUAGAAAACAAGAGCCACUUUUCCACAAUUUUGCACAAAGUUGUUAUGAGUUUGCACAAUAGAUACAGUUAUUGGUUGUGGUGGAAAAAAGUAAUAUUUAUAUACCCAGUACGAGUCUUCCAAUAUAUUACAGUGCAUCAAAAUAUCAUAGAUUUUCAUUCUAGGGAAGAAAUGAAAAACACAGCUCAUGAUCUACAAAUUUCACUUUCUCAUUUUGUAUUAUCGUUAUUAUAUUAACUGUAUUACUGCUAUACGACAAGGUCAGCAAUACUGAAACAAGUUAUUUAAGGAACCAUUGAGUUUGUUUAUCUAUCUAUCUAUCUAUCUAUCUAUCUAUCUUUCUACCAUUUCUCUUUUUUUGUUCUUAAAAAAAAUCUCCAACCACACAGUUCACAAGUGUUUCUGACUACUACUUUCUACAGCUUUUAAAUGAACUAUGUUGUUGGAUCAGUUAGGCUACUGUCUGGAGUAACCACAUGAUGCAUAUAAGCAUAAACCCCUCAAGACAUCUAUGUGAUGCUUUGGAUGAGCACCAUAUAUAAUGCAGAGUACUGAAAAUAGCAGUAGACACACUACAUCAUUUUCAUUGCCGUGUAGGGGAUAAUAAUACCAGUCCCCAGCAGUACUAUACUCUGCUGCUGUCAUGUAGCCUGCUGUCUUUUGUAUGCCUUAUGUAGUUACACAUGAUGACCAAACAUUUUCUAUAUCCUUAUUGUGGAUGUGUUCACCCAUCGAAAUAUCAGUUACGAAAUUUGUAUAUGAAAUAAAACAGACUAUUUUAAAACUGUUACAAGUGCUUUGCUUCACAGCUAUGCUUGAAUACCACUGGAGGCAUUGUUUUUUUUCCCUUCAUAAUCAUAUUAAUUUCAUCAGUCAUGCGGUUCAUGAUCCAUAUGUGGUUAUUUCACUCAAUUACCCACAAAGCAUUUCUCACAUCUCCUCAUUUGAAUCCUCACCCCGGAGUGACUCUCUGAAAAACAUUCACCUCAGAUUGACGCAUGCCCCCAUCUCUCACAUGUCUCCUCUUCAGGGAACGUUGCCUCCCGCUCGUAAGUCAACUAUUAUCUGCGUUUUCCGGAGC